RNAcentral lists this long non-coding RNA (7194 nucleotides) under Canis lupus familiaris (dog). Its description in RNAcentral is "lncRNA (ENSCAFG00000055506.1)". Lineage: Eukaryota; Metazoa; Chordata; Mammalia; Carnivora; Canidae. The record is from RNAcentral.
UUUUUUUUUUUUUUUUUAAGAUUUUGUUUAUUUAUUCAUGAGAGACACAGUGAGAGAGAGAGGCAGAGACACAGGCAGAGGGAGAAGAAGAUCCCCUGCAGGUAACCUGAUGUGGGACUUGAUCCCAGGACUCCGGGAUCACAACCUGAACCAAAGGCAGACGCUCAAUCACUGAGCCACCCAGGUGUCCCUCACUUUCUUGUUUUAUUUAUAAUUUUACUGACAUACAUGCAUCCCUAAUAUAGUUUAGUUUUAUCUCCUUUUGAACUAAAAUUUAAAUAAAUUCAUGCUUUUUUUUCUUUGCAACUUACAUCUUUUUCUCAAUAUUAUGCUUCUUAAGAUCCACCCAGGCUUUUGCAUGUGAUCCUAGUUCAUUUUUAUUGUUGUGUAUUAUUUAUCCAUUCUAUUGUUGAUGGAUAUUUGUGUUUCCAAUAUUUUAAUAUUGUGAAUAAUGCUGCCACCCUGAUUAAUUUUGCAUAUACGAUGCAGUGCACUCAUAUAUAAGUACCUUUAGAAAUAGAGGCUUGUUAUGCAUAUUUUUAACCUCUCUAAACAAACCACAGUUAUGUUCUGAAGUAUCCCACUCAUUUUUACUUGCCACAUGGAAAUUCUAGUUUUUGCAUGUCCCACAAGUUCGUGCUCUAUCUCACGGUGGUUUUAAUUUGUUCUUAUUGUUGAUGAAGGUGAGCACCUUUUCAUCCAUUAUUCACCAUUUGCUGUUCUUCUUGUGCACAGUGCUUCUUUUCUUGAGUAGUCUUUUUUUUUUUUUAAGUGACACUGGAUUUGAGUUUUAUUCUUUAUAUAUGUUGCAGAUAAUUUCUUUCCUUCUUGUACUCUUGUAUGUUUUUCCUUUCCUAAGAAAAGGAAUUAAGAAUUAUUCCUUUUGAUGAAAAGGAAUUUUCAUCAUAUUCUUUUGAUGAAAAGAUAUUAAUUUUAGCAGAUGCAAGUUUAUCAGUCUGGCUUUGUGACUUUUGCUUUAUGUCAUGUUGUAUAAAUAUUUUCAUAGCCCAAGUUUCAUUUUAUUUUCCAAAUGAAUAUGCAGUUUUCCCCAGUACUAUUAAAUGAAAGACUUUUCUUCUCCCACUGUUGGCUUUGUCCAGUGUUCAGUAUAUAUGGGUAUGGUUCUAGAUUUCUGUUCUAUUUCAUUCCAUUUACACUACACAUGCCUAUGCCAGGGACAAUGCCACUGCCAAAUUACUGUAGCUUUAAAAUAAGCCUUUGAUGUGUUAAAGAAUUUCGUCUGCUUUGUCCUUCUUCAAUAAUUUUCUUGACUAUUCUUUCUUAGUGCUUUGCAUUUCUAUCUAAGUUCUAGAAUGAGUUGGUGAAUUCCAACAAGAAAUAAAAACAAAGAACCCUGUUGGGUUUUUGGUUUUGGGGGGGGGGUUGUUUGUUUAUUUGUUUGUUUUUACUGAGAGGUUAUCUGGAAAGCAUACCAUAUUUAGCACACGGAGUUUUUCAAUCCAGAAACACUGCUUAUCUCUCCAUUUGUUUGAGUCUUCUCCGAAGUCUCUCCAAUUUUAUAUUUUCUCUCAAAGAAGUUUCACCUUUCUUUUGUUAGAUUUAUUUCUAGGUAUUCUUUUGUUUCUCAUUUGAUUGUAUGUGAUAUCUUUAAAUUCAUUUUCUGUUGAUGGUAUAUAGAAGUACAAUUCAUUUUGGUUUGUUGAGUUUGUAUCUAGCAAUAUUGCAAAACUCUUUAAUACAAACUAUAGCUUCUUUUUUUUCCCCCCACCAUGAUCAUCAUGAUAAUGUUUUAUUCUUUUCUUUUCUUUCCUAUCAACUGAAUGACUGCCUACUGCUUUGGCUAAUUCCACAGUUCAAUGAAAUAGAAAUGUAUUUCUUCCGUUUUAAAUAGAUAAGAUUUCCUAGUUAUCCUACUCAUAAUGGUUUUUAGCAAACUUUUACUGUAGUCAGAGAAUAUGCUCUGUGCAUUCUUCAAAUAUUUGAAAUUGGUGAGAAUUGUUCUAUGGUCAGAAAGGGGUAAAUCUGUAUAAAUGCUUUAUUUGCCUGAACAAAAUGUGUGCUCUUAGUUAACAGCAUGAAUUUUCCUAUACCUAUUCAUUAGGUCAAAUCAAGUAAUCAUGUAUUCAAAACUUGAGUGUUCUUACGGAUUUUUGGUUGGCUCAUUUGGUCAAUUACUCAAAGAGGUAUGUUUGAAAAUCUUACACUUAAUUAGUAUUUGUCUAUUUCCUCAAGAGUUUUGCCCUCUAUGAAACAAUCCACAUUUAAAAUUGCUAUAUGCUGGGGUACCUGGAAGCUCAGUUAAGCAUCUGACUCUUGAUUUUGGCUCAGGUCAUGAUCUCAGGGCCGUGAAACCGAGCCUCACAUUGGCUCUGUGCUGAAUGUGGAGCCUGUUUAAGACUCAUUCUCUCUCUCUCUCUCACCAUCUCUUGCUGCCUCCCUCUCUAAAAAGUAAAAAAGUAAAAUAAGAUUGCUAUAUGCUACUGGCAAAAUAAAGCUUUUAUCAUUAUGAAGAAAUCUUUUUAUCUGGGGAUAUGAUUUUUGCCUUCAAGUUUAACUGCUUGAUAUCAAUCUUACUUCUCUGUAUCUGUUUAGUAUUUAUAUAUUAUAUCUUUUCCAGCCUUUCAAUUUCAGCUACUUUGUAUCUAUGUGUUUUUAAUGUGGCCUUUGUGAACAGCAUUCAUUUGAAUUUUAAAAAUCCAAUCUACAAUCAUUAUCUUUUAACCUGAGUCUUUGGUUUUCUAUAGUCUCACUAAGAUGUAUGGAGGUAAAGAUUAUGUAUCCCAGUAGUUUUCCAUGUUACUUAUCCUUUCAUCUUUAUUUUUAUUUUUGCCUUUUUGUGCUUCCUUAUCCAUAGCUUCUUUUAAUAUUACCCAAUUUAUUGAUUCUCUCUUCUUCUGCGUCUAAUCAGGUGAUAAAUCCAUCCAGGGAGAUCUCAAUUUUAAUUAUUGUAAUUUUUAGUUCUGGAAUUUUUAUUUGGUUCUUUUUCAUAGCUACUACACUAUUUUUAGCUUCUAGUAUCUGUGCCAAAAUUCUCAAGUUUGUCUUUUGUAACUUAACAUAACAAACACGAUUGCCUUAGGAGCUGUGUCUAUAAUUCUUAUUGUGAGUUUGUUUUGACGAUUAUUUACUUGUUGACGGGGGGGUAGAUACCUAUGAUCUCUAAUUUCCACGUGCACAUUUAUUUAUUUUUCUUAGAGAGAGGAUGCAUGCAAGUGCAAGCACGGGGGAGGAGCAGAUGGAAAGGGAGAGAAUUCCAAGCAGGUUUGGUGGGCAGGGUGGAGUCCAAAUGUGGGGCUCAGUCUCAUGACCCCAAGAUCAUGACCCAAGACAAAAAUCAAGAGUUGGAUGCUUAACUGACUGAGCCACCCAGGCACCCCUCCAUGUGCACAUCUUAAACUGAGUGCUCAAAAAAAAAAAAAAAAAUUGAGCGUUCAAAAUUGUGUUUGAAAAAAAAUAGGGAUAGUUUGAAGCCUAUUGAGCCUAUUAUCAAUAUAAUGCUUUAGAGAGGAUUUUUUUUGCUUCUGCCAUGUUCCUGUGGGUGAUCCAGCACUUAUUUGCUGGGUAAAGUGAGCAGGAUCUGUCUAUCUUUAGAAAAGUUAUUCCUUUGGUAUCUAUACUAGCCCAGAUGAGGGUCAACUGGUGACCUUCACUCUGUCUGGUCUCUUUCAGCCUAGGAAUUCAAAGCUUUUUUCACAAUACAUGAUGUUCUCUUUUUUUUUUUUUUUUUUUGAUGUUCUCUUUUUGAAUGUUAUUUAUUUGGAAGACAAACUCAUAGAAGUACUCAAUUGGCAGUUGGGCACAGAUAAGAUAUACUGAUGUUUACAUGUAAUUCUCUGUUGAGUAGCUAGAAACAUACCCUUUCUCUUUUAUUCAGGGAAGCACAUCUGAUAGUAUAUUAUUUAUGAGUACCAUUUAAUUAUUAAUUUAAUUAUUUAAAAAUAACUUUUAAAUUUUGUUAAUUUAUUAUGGAUGACAUUACCGGCCCACCUCACAAAUGAUAUAGUUAAAACCAUUUAUCACAUUGAGAUUGACUCUGAGGAUGCUGAUAGCUGUUGUUCUAGGGCAUUUCUACAGUAUUUAUGAAGUGGGUCAAAUUACUUUCCAGUUUUGGGCCAAAAAACAUGAUCAAGCAAAGGGAGAAGCAGGCUCCAUGCACCGGGAGCCCGACGUGGGAUUCCAUCCCGGGUCUCCAGGAUCGCGCCCUGGGCCAAAGGCAGGCGCUAAACCGCUGCACCGCCCAGGGAUCCUACUAUUUUCAUUAGCAAAUAAAUAAUAGUGGAAAUGAGCAGGGAGGAAACGAGAUGGACUCAAGAUAUAAUUUUGAGGUAGAAUGGCCAGGGUUUGUUGGUAAGUUGGGGCAUAGUGUCUUCAUUGGUCAGGGAAUAGGAGCAGAGUUUAGGGAUCAAAGAAGACUCCCAGGUUUCUAGCUUGAAUAACUGGUGAUACCAUUUACUGACUACAAAAAAAUGUGCUGGGCAUGGCCACUAAGAGUUUUCCUUUGGGGUAUUAUCAAGUUUGAGAUAUGAGUAUUGAGUUAGGUAAGUAAAUAGGGAUAUUAAGUCUACAGUGGAUACAUAAAUCUGGAACACAGAGGAAGAGUCUAGUCUGGAAAAAUAAGUCUGGAGGCAUCAGUACCUCAGCAUGAAGAUGGUAUUGAAAAUCAUAUGAAUGGAGAACCCCUCUCAUGAAAGAAGAAUGGCUGGAGAGAUGGCUGAGAAAGAGACUAAUGUGUGUAUUUCAUUACUAUUUACAUAAAAUUUUAAAAACACACAAAACAACCAUACAUAUUUUACAAGAAUACAUAUGAAUAAAAUGAAAGAAAUAAACACAUUAUAGUAAUUUUCUGGAGACCAAAAUGAAAAAAAAAAGGUGUAAGAAAUGAAUAGAAAAGGAAAAAAUAGUGAAAUCAAAUAUGAAUGGACCUUAUACUCUCUAAUGUGCUAUAAAGUUAAGAAUAUGGUUAACUCAACGCUCUCUAUGGUAGAUUUACUAAAAAAUUUUAAAGAAAAAGGUUAACUAAGGUCAUAUCGGACAGAGCCCUGAGUCACUUUCUCAUUUACAAGUGAAAGGCUGGCAAAGAAUAGUAUGAAGAAAUAGCCAAUGAAAUUUGGUAGGGGGAGAGAUUUCCAAAUUACAAAGAUCAAGAAAGAUAUUUCCAAGGAAAAGGCAUGUCAAUUGCCUUUCAAUGCUGCUGAAAAGACAGAAAACUGCCCAUUGGACUUGCACUAUGGUUAGUGCAAGGCAUUGGUAACCUUGACAAGAGCAGCAUCAGUGAAGUAAUGCUUACUGAAGGUCGCUGGUGCCUGGGACUGACCCGCUUAUUGAAGAGAGAAUGAGAGCUGAAGCAUUGAAGAUGGUGCAUAAAUACAGUGUUUUCUAGAAAUGGGGAUGUAGUUGAAGUGAGAUGCAGGGUUGGGGCUGGUUUGCUUUUUUAAACACAAGAGAUAAUACAGGGAGUUUCGGUAUCAAUUCUGGCAAUGGUUCAAUAAAGAGAAAUAAACUGAUGAUAGAGGGUAAAAAGGUGGAAAAUUUAAGGAGCAAUGUCUUUGUGAGGGUGUGGGUUCCAGCACAUUAGUAGAAGAUUUGAUUUUUUUCCCCUUUAUUUUUCUUAGAGAACAGAGGAAGUGUAGGUUAAUUUGUGUUCUUAUUCCUAAUUUUAGUGUUUUCCAACGUUAUUGUACAUGAACAUACUUUAAAGAAUCAAGAAGUUCUACAAGACAUUCAACAUAAGCAGGGAUCCCUUUCUACCUCUCCGCCAUUUGUCCCCACUCAGAUCCACCAUUUCCAGCUCCAGGUAUAUGUCUGUGUCUCUCAGUGACAUGCCAGUACAGUACUAUUCUUUCUUAUUUCUUUUAGUUUGUGGUUUCAGGUCAUGACUUCCCACUAUCAGAAACGAAGAUUAAUGUGUUUUCAUAUCCUUAUUCUUUUAAUAUAACAUUAUAAUUUUGGUUAGGACAAUAUUCAAUUUUUGAUUUAUUUUAACUAUGACCACUCUAAUUUAAUAAUGAUCAUUUUUCCUUUCCUGAAAGAUACAACUGUUUUUAUUUCUUCGUUUAAUAGUUGUCUUCUUUUCUUUGCUGAAUUUCCUAAGGCAUUAGAAAUUCAUUAUCCAAAUUCUCCCCUAGUUCUCUAAAUCUUUCAUGAAUAUAUUCAAGGCUUUAAACAUUUUAUAUUCUGGAAGAAAUAACCUCCUGGAGGUUCGGAUCUGCUUCAGUCUGAAGUGGUUGCUCUUUAUGCUAAGUGCAAGCUGUCAUACUUUCAUUUAGGGAGUGUUCCAAGUCUUUGUUGCUUAUGUUGGAGACUUUUCUGAAGCUCAUGCCUGCCUCUCCCUUGGUUUACUUCCUAGUUUCAGUGGAGCGCUUUCUCUGGAGGUUUUCCGAAAAAGGAUAGAUGGAAGCAAAUUUUUUGAGAUCUUGAUCACAUGAAAAUAUUUUUAUUCUAUCCUCAUACUUGAUUUGGCUGGGUAUAGAAUAUCAAGUUGGAAAUAAUUUUCUUUCAACAAUUUGAAGACAUCAAUCAACUGUGCUCUAGAUUCCAAGGUUGUUGUUGAGAAGUCAUAAAGAUUUCUAACCCUCUGUAGGUGGCUCAUUUAAUUUUCUCUCUGGAAAUUCUUCUUUUUGCUCCAAGGGUUGUAACAUCUCUCAAUGAUAUAUCUUAUUGUGUCCUGUGUUCCCAACUGUUCUAGACACUUGAUAGGCUUUCAUUCUGAAACUCAUGUCUGCUACUUUUAAGAUAUUUUCUUAAAUUUGUUUGUUUAAUGGUUUCUUGUACAUUGUUUUCCAAAAUUAUUGAGAUGUUGGACAUACUGGAUUGUCCUCUGGUUUUAUUAAUUUAUGUCUCAUAUUUUCCUUCUCUUUGAAUAUUACCUCUACUUUCUGGAAGACUUUAAAGUUAAAUCUUCCAAUCUUUCUAUCAAGUUUCUGAGAAAUUCCUCAGUAAUCUUCCAAGCUUGGAGGUAUACUGAAUUAGAAUAUUCAAAGUCUUUAUUUAGAAGGAGGAUAUUUAGACUGAUAAGAAUAAGGAAUUAGUAUCAAUUUUGUCAACUAUGUUAGAUUUGGAACAGAGAAAGAGAAAACGAUUGCAUUGUUCACUUGGCUUUCAUAGCAAGGACAGUGAGUCCUGUGACUUGAGCACAAAGAAAACAGAAACACAAACAAACCACACAAAUAUCAACAAGAAAGCAAGUCAAUAUUAUUAUAGACAAAGUUCAAAGUAACAAACAACAAAAAAAAA